RNA transcript from Mus musculus (house mouse), 9939 nucleotides. It is a transcript of the gene named ninein, with no coding region annotated. NCBI's taxonomy places the organism in Eukaryota, Metazoa, Chordata, Mammalia, Rodentia, Muridae. The transcript has 32 exons. The record is from RefSeq and is marked validated.
CUCCGGGUGGCGGCGGCUGAGCCGGGAGCAAGCGCGCUGGGCGCGGCCGUCCCGUGCCGCCCGGCCAAGCCCGAGAGUCCCGCGGUCAUGGUCUGUGCGGUGGCGCGGGGCGCCUGAGCCCGGGACUCGAGCUCCGGAGGCGGCCGGCGUGGGCGCUCCCCAGAGGCCGACGGAAGGUGAGCGCUGUGGGCUAUGGGAUGGAUGAGGUGGAGGAGGACCAGCAUGAAGCCCGACUCAAGGAGCUGUUUGACAGUUUUGACACCCUGGGAACUGGGUCUCUGGGUCAAGAGGAGCUCACUGACCUCUGCCACGUGCUGUGCUUGGAGGAUGUGGGCCCGGUGCUGCAACAGACGCUACUCCAGGACAACCUCUUGGGCAGGGUACAUUUUGACCAAUUUAAAGAAGCAUUAAUACUUAUCUUGUCUAGAACUCUAUCCAGUGAGGAGCACUUUGAGGAGUCAGACUGUUCCCCAGAAGCUCAGCCCAAAUAUGUUAGAGGUGGGAAGCGUUAUGGACGAAGAUCACUGCCCGAGUUUCAAGAGUCUGGGGAAGAGAUCGAGGAGGUGACAGUGCUUGAGCCACUAGAGGAAGAAGCGAGGUCAUCACCCAUCCCAGCUGGGGACUGCGGCGAGCACUGGAAGACACAACGCAGUGAGGAGUAUGAAGCAGAAGGCCAGCUGAGGUUUUGGAACCCAGAUGACCUGAAUGCUUCACAUGGUGGGUCUUGCCCUCCUCCAGACUGGAUAGAAGAGAAACUGCAAGAGGUUUGUGAAGAUCUGGGGAUCACUCGAGAUGGUCACCUGAACCGGAAGAAGCUGGUUUCCAUCUGCGAACAGUAUGGAUUACAGAAUGUGGAUGGAGCGAUGCUGGAAGAGGUGUUUCUCAGCCUUGAUCCUGAUGGAACAAUGAGUGUGGAAGACUUUUUCUAUGGUCUGUUUAAGACUGGGAAAUCCCUCACGCCAUCAGCAUCUACUCCCUAUAGACAACUGAAACGGCAUCUCUCUAUGCAGUCUUUCGAUGAGAGUGGACGGCGGACCGCAACCUCGUCAGCAAUGACGAGUACCAUUGGCUUCCGGGUCUUCUCCUGCUUGGAUGACGGGAUGGGCCAGGCGUCUGUGGAGAGGAUACUGGACACCUGGCAGGAAGAAGGCAUUGAGAACAGUCAGGAGAUUCUGAAGGCCCUGGAUUUCAGCCUGGAUGGAAACAUCAACCUGACAGAGCUGACGCUGGCUCUGGAGAAUGAACUUUUGGUUACCAAGAAUGGCAUUCACCAGGCAGCACUAGCUAGCUUCAAGGCCGAGAUCCGGCACUUGUUAGAACGAGUUGACCAAGUAGUCAGAGAAAAGGAGAAGCUACGGUCGGACCUGGACAAAGCAGAAAAGCUGAAGUCUCUCAUGGCUUCCGAGGUGGACGAUCACCACGCGGCCAUUGAGCGGAGGAAUGAAUACAACCUCAGGAAACUGGAUGAAGAAUACAAGGAGCGCAUAGCAGCCUUAAAGAACGAACUCCGCCAGGAGAGGGAACAGAUGUUGCAGCAAGUGGGCAAGCAGCGGGUGGAGCUGGAACAGGAAAUUCAAAAGGCCAAGACGGAAGAGAAUUACAUCCGGGACCGCCUUGCCCUCUCCCUGAAGGAAAACAAUCGCCUGGAGACUGAGCUUCUGGAAAACGCAGAGAAGUUGGCAGAGUACGAGAGCCUGACGCAGAAGCUCCAGCGCAGUUUGGAAAAUGUGUUAGCAGAAAAGUUUGGUGACCUCGAUCCCAGCAGUGCUGAGUUCUUUCUUCAAGAGGAGAGGCUGGCGCAGAUGAGAAAUGAAUAUGAGCAACAGUGCAGGCUAUUACAAGACCAAGUGGAUGAGCUUCAGUCUGAACUAGAAGAAUACCAGGCUCAAGGCAGGGUGCUCAGACUCCCCUUGAAGAACUCGCUGUCAGAAGAACUCGACGGUCACAGUGGUGGUAUUGAGCCCGACCAAGGGCCUGGAUCUGAAGAGUGCAACCCCCUGAAUAUGAGCAUUGAGGCAGAGCUGGUCAUCGAGCAGAUGAAGGAGCAGCACCACCGGGACCUGUGUCACCUGAGACUGGAGCUGGAAGACAAAGUGCGCCACUAUGAAAAGCAGCUGGAUGAUACCAGGGUCGCCUCUGAACAGGAGCAGGCAGCCAUGAAGCAGAAGUAUGAGCAGGGAGUGCACACCUUGGAGAAGCGAGUCAGCGAGCUUCGGAGUGAGAUUGCAGACCUGGAAGGGCAGGCAGCCGUGCUGAGGGAGGCCCACCACAAGGCCAGCUGCAGGCACGAGGAGGAAAAGAGACAACUGCAAAUGGCGUUCGAUGAGGAAAAGGCUCAGCUCCAGGAGGAGCUGCGGCAGGAGCAUGAGAGGGAGCUCCAGGCCAGGCUGCAGCAGGCAGCGGAGAGCUUUCGCCAGGAGAGAGAGGGACUCGCCCAGGCUGCCUGGACUGAGGAGAAGGUGAGAGGCUUGGAGCAAUCUUACCAGGAGCAGCUGCUGAGCCUGGAGGAGAAGCAUGCUCUAGAGAAAGAAGAGCUGAGGGAAGAGCUCUCGGAACAUCACCGAAGGGAACUCCAGGAGGGAAGGGAAGAAAUGGAAACAGAGUGUAAUAGAAGAGUCUCUCAGAUAGAAGCCCAGUGCCAGGCUGACUGUGAGAAAGUCACUGAGCACUGUGAACAAACUCUGCAAAGCCUCGAGGUUCGCCACCGCCAGGAGCUGAGGGACCUCUUGGACCAGCACCUGGAGGAAAGGUCUCAGUGGGAGUUUGAGAAGGAUGAGCUUACACAAGAGUGCACAGAUGCCCAGGAGCAGCUGAAGGAGGCGCUCCAGAGGGAGAGGGCGACCGCUGCGGCCAUGAAGCAGGAACAGGAGAUACUGGAGAGGACAUACAAGGACCGUUUGAAUAUCCUGAGCACGGAAAGAAAGCAGCUGCUGCAAGACCUGAAAGACCUACAGAACGCAUCUGAGAGCCAGCAUGGCCUCCUGUCUGGCCAGAUACUUGAGCUGAAGAGAAGUCAGGAGAGAGAACUGAGGGACCAAGGGCAGGCGCUAUGCCAGACGGGGGUCUCUGAGCAGCUGGCCAGCCAGCAGCUCGAAAGGCUCCGGGUUGAGCAUGAGCAAGAGAGGCGAGAAAUGACGGGCAAGCUUGCCGCCCUGGAGAGCGCCCACAGAGCAAGCCUUGAGAGAGCAGAUCAAGAGAAGGCGGAGAUGAGCACAGAAAUCUGCAGGCUUCAGAAUACAGUCAAGGACAUGCAGCAGGCAGCAUCUCUCUUGAUGCUUCAGGGUGGCUGCCAGGCAACGGCAGGGGAGGAGGCAGAAGGAGAUGGAGCCAUGUCCCUGCUUCAGCAAGGCGAGCAGCUAUUGGAAGAAAACGGAGAUGUCCUCAUCAGCCUGCAGAGAGCUCACGAGCAUGCAGUGAAGGAAAAUGCAAAGAUGGCUACUGAAAUUUCCCGAUUGCAGCAGAGGCUGAAGAAGUUAGAGCCGGGGUCGGUGAUCUCGUCUUGUUUGGAGGAGGGGACGUCUGAGAUUUCUGGAAGUUCCAGGGAACAAGUAGAACCCAUAAUGAAACAAGGUCCAGCCACCAAGCACUUCCUGAGCGAUCUAGGAGACCACGAGGCCCGGGACCUGGCAAGUACCGGGACAAGCUCCGUUCAGAGGCAGGAGUGCAAAACCGAGGCGUCGGAAGCUUCCCUGGACUGCUUUUCUGAGCUUGAAAACAGUGAAGACACCAGGACCGAGUCCUGGGACCUCAAGAGUCAGAUCAGCCAGCUUCGGGAGCAACUGACGGUCUUGCGAGCAGACUGCGAUCGGGCUUCCGAGAGGAAACAGGACCUGCUUUUCGAUAUCUCUGUGCUGAAAAAGAAACUGAAGAUGCUGGAGAGACUCCCGGAGGCAUCUUCCAGGUAUAAGGUAUUAUACGAGGAUGCCGCCCGAGAAAACUCCUGCCUUCAGGAGGAGCUGAGACUUGUAGAGACGCGCUACGAGGAGUCGCUGGACAGCAACAAAGAGCUUACGGCGGAGGUCUACAGGUUGCAGGAUGAGAUGAAGAAAAUGGAGGAGGUGAUGGAGACGUUCCUCAGCCUGGAGAAGAGUUACGAUGAGGUCAAAGUGGAAAAUGAGGAACUCCGUGCUCUGGUGUUGAGACUUCAAGGGAAGAUGGAGAAGGUGCUGGGAAGGGCCGCCCUGCAGGGUGACAGCUACGCCCUCUGGGAAGCCCCUUCAGAAAACCUGGAGGUCGCCUCGGAUGAAAAGAUGCUUGAACUCCGUCAGACUCCGAAAGAGUGUACGCCCAAGGUCGUGAGCAUGCACCACAUCAUAGAAGAGUGUACACAAGAAACCCAGUGCUGUGAGCAGGGAAGCACGAAGCUCCUAGCUAGAAUAAAAGCACACGAAAUCGCCUGGUUCCACAGAGCAAUUAAGACACAUCCGGAAAAGCCUAGCGCGCAGAACCGAGUCAUCCCGGAGGGAAGUGCUGCUCUCCUAGGCCUACAAGACAAGCAUCUUCAGCAGGAGGCCACCAUCGCAGAGUUAGAACUAGAGAAGCAAAAGCUACAGGAGCUGACUAGAAAUCUGAGGGAGCGAGUCACUGCACUAGUUAGGCAAAAAGACGCCCCUUCUCAAGGGCAGAAGGAGGAGGAGCUGAAGGCAAUGAUGCAGGACCUGCAGAUCACGUGCGGGGAGAUGCAGAGGAAGGUUGAACUCCUGAGAUAUGAAUCUGAAAAGCUUCAAGAGGAAAAUUCUAUUUUGAGAAAUGAAAUUACUACUUUAAAUGAAGAAGAUAGCAUCUCUAACCUGAAAUUGGAGGAAUUAAAUGGCUCUCAGGAAGAAUUGUGGCAGAAAAUAGAAACCAUAGAGCAGGAAAAAGCUUCAAUUCAGACAAUGGUUGAAAAAUUAAAGAAACAGGUUUCAGAUUUAAAAAUCAAAAACCAACAGUUGGAUUCAGAAAAUAUAGAACUCAGCCAAAAGAACUCCCAAAACAAGGAAGAACUGAAAACCCUUAAUCAACGUCUGGCAGAAAUGCUGUGCCAGAGGGAGGAGCCAGGAGCUUGCACCUCUGAGAAAUGGGAACAAGAAAAUGCAAGCCUCAAAGAAGAACUGGAUCACUACAAAGUGCAGACUUCCACUUUGGUGUCUUCUCUGGAGGCAGAACUUUCCGAAGUUAAACUGCAGACUCACGUCAUGGAGCAGGAAAACCUCCUUCUCAAAGAUGAACUGGAGAGACUGAAGCAACUGCACAGAUGUCCUGACCUCUCUGACUUCCAGCAAAAAAUGUCUAGCAUUCUAAGCUACAAUGAAAAACUGCUGAAGGAAAAAGAAGUUCUGAGUGAAGAGUUAAAGAGCUGUGCAGAUAAGCUGGCAGAGUCAAGCCUCUUAGAGCACAGAAUUGCUACAAUGAAGCAGGAGCAGACCGCCUGGGAAGAGCAGAGUGAGAGCCUGAAGUCACAGCUGGCAGUGUCGCAGGCAAAGGUUCAGAACUUAGAAGAUGUCCUGCAGAAUGUCAACCUUCAGAUGGCUGAGAUUGAAUCAGAUCUCCAAGUGACUCGACAGGAAAAGGAGGCGCUAAAGCAGGAAGUGAUGUCAUUACACAGACAGCUUCAGAAUGCCAUUGAUAAGGACUGGGUCUCGGAAACAGCUCCCCAUCUCUCAGGGCUCCGGGGCCAGCAGAGAAGGCUGUCCUGGGACAAACUGGACCAUCUGAUGAAUGAGGAACCACAGCUGCUUUGUCAAGAAAGCAAGAGACUCCAGACUGUGGUACAGAAUACCCAAGCAGAUCUCACCCACUCCCGGGAGAAGGUCCGUCAACUGGAAUCCAACCUCCUUCCCACCAAACACCAAAAACAACUCAACCAACCAUGUACUGUGAAGUCCACAGAACAAGAAAAACUGACCUUAAAGAGAGAGUGUGAACAGUCUCAGAAAGAACAAUCUCCUACCAGCAGGAAGGUGGGUCAGAUGGGUUCCCUUGAGCGAGGAUUAGAAACAAUCCAUUUGGAAAACGAAGGUCUGAAGAAGAAACAGGUGAGACUGGACGAGAAGCUAAUGGAGAGCUCAGUGGUUGGAAGCAGCCGAGCGGGGCGCAGUUCUGUGCCUGAGCUAGCGUGCGAAGAUGCAGCCCCUGAGGUCCACUGUGACGCGUAGCCCAUCCUCUCACUGGGAUCUGCAGUUGCUCCAGCAGCAAGCCUGUCCGAUGGUGCCCAGGGAGCAGUUUCUGCAGCUUCAACAGCAGCUGCUGCAGGCAGAAAAGAGAAGCCAGCACCUGCAGGAGGAGCUCGAAAACAGAACCUCCGAAACCAACACACCACAGGGAAACCAGGAACACCUUGUAAAUCUCAUGGAAGAACGAAUGAUAGAAGUUGAACAAAAACUAAAGCUGGUGAAGAGACUUCUUCAAGAAAAAGUAAACCAGCUCAAAGAACAACUCUGCAAGAACACAAAAACAGAUGCCGUGGUGAAGGAUUUGUAUGUCGAAAAUGCCCAGUUGUUGAAAGCUCUGGAGAUGACUGAACAGCGCCAGAAGACAGCAGAAAAGAGAAAUUUCCUCCUAGAAGAGAAGAUUGCCAGCCUCAGUACCAUCGUCAGGAACCUGGCACCAGCACCACUGACUUCUAUGCCUCCUCUGAGGUCAUAGCCAGCCCAAAGGAUGCACACCAAAGGGCGCACUUGCAUUUGUGCGCUUUCCUGACACUAUUGGAACGUCUUAAUAGGCUCUCCGAACCCUCUAACCAAAAAUUUUCAGCGGCUUGAAAUCAAGCCUACCCGAAGUCUGCCAGCAAUGGAAUUGGAGGCUCCAAAUGGGUGCUUAUUGGAAUUUCACAAAUCACUAUUUAAAUUUCACUAUUUAAAUUACUCAUAAGCACUGAACUUUUACAGUAUGUUCUGGAUAGCUACCAAGAAUGAAAUUAAGUUAAGGACCUUCAAGUCCUAGUUUUUAAUGUUUUAAAACUGCUAUUAUCGGUGUAUGCAAUCCAGGUUCUUUUUAAGUUUGAUAUCUAACUAAAGUGGUUAUUAUUAUAAUUGUUUUUGAAAACAUUUAAGUACUGAAAUCAUUCGGCUUACAAUACUUUAGUCUCUUUGAAUUAAUCGGCUGACUGCAGUUGUGUUCAGAGAAGGCUUGGCCAGUAGCUAGCCACCCAGUAGCUAGCCACCGAGAUCAGAGAAGUCCAAGUUCUAUAAAACUCUGACUUCUGAUGCCAUUCUUCCUACUCUUGCUGUACAACAGAUUCAGAACUUACUCAGCUGCACUCUUAACUAAGGAUAAAGCUUUACUUUCUUUAAACAGCCCUUUCUCCUCCUCCUAAAGCUUUUGUUUGGGACCCUGUCUUCUAAAAAAUUGUUAAAACUGUACUCGUAACAUUACUGAACUAUAGUGAGCCUACGGACAGACCGACCACUUUGGAGUAAAAAGCCACUCUUGGAAGAAGAUCACGUGGAGCGUGGUGGACGUAGUUUCGUCUCUCCCAAGCCUUGGAGUUCGUGACAUACCUUUGAGUUUGUAUCAAAAGCUCAGGGAAUGAUUUUUAAACUGUCUUCCUGAACUACUUGCUGCCUGGCCUAAGAACUGUGUACUGACAUCAUUCGGCUUACAAUACUUUAGUCUCUUUGAAUUAAUCGGCUGGCUGCAGUUCUGUUCAGAGAAGGCUUGGCCAGAGAUGUGUAAACCACACAACCUUUUUUGUCUUAUAUAUUAACAGCCAUAGACUUUUUACUUCUACGUUUUAGUGCACUUAAUUAUCUGUAAAGGCCUUGACUGUAGAGUUAAAAACCUCUCCUACUUAUGAAGAGUUUUUACUGUUUGUUUAAUACAGGUCAAGAAUUCCGUGCUUCUGACCUUUUGAUACCUCAUAUAUCUGAACUUACGAAUUUCGUACUGUGGAAAACAUUGGCUAUCAAGGGUAAAGGGGAGAAAUUAGAGCGUCACUUUACAAGGGGUACAAGAGAAAAGUAAACCGCUGUGUUUGGGAAGGGACACAAGACAAGUCAGGCUGAGAAGUGACAUGACUGUGAGGAAAUCUUGAGCCAUUUCCAUUCCACCAUGACUCUUUGGGACCCAACUAUCGAGACCCACCAGCACAGAGCUCCCUCUACCAAGUUCAUUACACUGUCUGUGCUCCAGCAGUUCACACUGGGUUUGCACUACUAUGCCUAUCAGAAGAUCCUGAUUUCCCACUGGGGAAAGAAUCAAUCUUUCCCUAGAGUCAUACAUCUAAAUAUUUGACCACUGGCACUAUGCCUCCUCUAAAUCUUUCUACUCAGUACUUGUAUUAGCUUUAGCAGAAAACUGUGUCGAGGCCUAGACUCAGGUCAGAGGUAAACUGUGUCGUAUGAAGUAGUCCUGUGGAAGCUUCAGGUUCUGAAGGUUAAUUUCACUGGAACUAAACAGCAAGCACAUUUCUCCAACAGCUGCCUGCCAUGGGGCCUUCUGUGUGUGCUUCUUAAUUUUAUUUUAUAUUAUAAAAAGUAUAGGUUGGUGUUUCUUAUAAAUUUGUAUUCAUGUGUACAUAAAGAGUUGUACAAUGACUGUAAAUAUGAUUUUUUGAAAAGUUUUAGAGUUCAUUUAGAAUUGUUUCACCCAAAAUCAAAAUGCUACUUUAGUAAAAUGUUAAUUUCUUGCUUUACCCCACUUACUAAAUAGGGAGGAGGGAAGAUCAAUAUGAGAAAUGUCUAUAGAUAUCUUAAACUUAUACAUUCAUGCAGCAGUUUAUAUUUUAGAAAUCUUUUAGCAAGGGAGUUUAACUGCCAUGUAGAAUAUAGCUUAAAGCUUUAAAAACAUCAAAUGUAAAAUCAUACAAUCAUGUGUUGAUUUAACUCUCAGACUUUCUUCCCAGUGGCGCUCUCCAAAAUCACAAGUUAUGUGUUUUAUGGCCAUAGCUACUUUUUCUUUUUCUUUUCCUUUUUCUUUUUCAAGCACUGGGUUUAGACUCUAAGACAUUGCUGGGAAGCGCUCCAUUGCCCUGUCUGCUGUCUUCUCAUUUUUAAAAGCCUUACUCUGUUGUUUCCCCUAAGGGGAGAAAGGAUUUAUUUUAUCCAAAGGCCUUUUCUCUUAAAGUGAGUUUGUGAGGGGAGAGAAGUCUGUGUGCUUUAGGAUGAAGAACAGUAUUUUCAUUUGUUUUCAAAAGCUCUAAUUUCAGCUAAGCCGUUUUAAAUGUGAAUCCCUCCUUGAAACUGCAAUGUGCUAUUUGUAUAUUUGACUAUCAGCAUGUUUUAUAUAAACAGAUUAUGAAAGACAUCUUACAGGUCUAGAGUUUCAGUAAUAAAUCAAUAUUCAGGGCAGGUAUUGAGAAACUUUAAAAAAAAAAAAGAAAUAACUAAGGCUUCUUGGCAAACUUUUUUUAACAUGUGGAAAAUAAAUGUGUGAUUCCCCCCUUUUACUUCGCUGAGUAAAGAAAAAGAGAGCACUGCUAUUGUCAGCAUCUCUUAAAGGCAUUCCCUGUCACAAAAGUCUGAGUCCAGUGUUAGUCGAGUCCUGUUCUGAAUGGGUUGCCUGCAAUGCUAUAGCAUUCCAGUGAGUCAUUAGCCAAGCCAAAAGCUGGGUCGAAGCCUGAGGAGCAAAGCACUCGCUGGAAAGGCAGUCAGGAGAGCGUGGCUGCCCCUACUUGAACAUCUUAGCACUGUGAAGAUGGAGUUUCAGGCAGCUGGACAGCUAUUUAAUAGCAAAUUAAAGUUGUGCCUUUUCAUUUUGUUUUUUUGGAUGAUGCAAGGUAAGUUUAUUCUCAUUGUGAGAACAUUACCAUAACAUGACUUAAAGGAAUAUUGAUGAAAAACAAAACAAUUAAAACCCAGAAGUAAAACCAAAAUUAGCUGGAGUUAAUCUAGAACCCACCCCGGAAUUGUUUUCUGUUCAAGAUUAAUGUAAAUAUGUUUAUAUUGGUUUUGUAAUUUCACUUUAGUCACUGUAUCCCAGAAAGAGUUUAAAAUGUAAAUAAAUAAUUUUGCAAACAUG